RNAcentral lists this long non-coding RNA (1115 nucleotides) under Anser brachyrhynchus (Pink-footed goose). Its description in RNAcentral is "lncRNA (ENSABRG00000017900.1)". The record is from RNAcentral. Lineage: Eukaryota; Metazoa; Chordata; Aves; Anseriformes; Anatidae.
GCCAAGCUUCACCACAACCGCUCUCUCACUCCCCCUCCUCAAAGAGGAACGGGGAGAAAAUACAAUGAAAAGGGCUCAAGGGUUGAGAUAAGGACAGGGAGAUCACGCAGUAAUUAUUGUGACAGGCAAAACAGACUCAGCAUAGGGAGAUAGUAAGAUUUAUUACCUAUUACUAACAAGCUAGAGAAGUGAGAAACAAAGGAAAGAAACCAAAAGCACCUUCCCCCCCAUCCACCCUCUUCCACCUCCUCCCCCCGAGCGGCGCAGGGGAACGGGGGAAUGGGGGUUAUGGUCAGUCUAUAGCGCUUCUUCGCCGCCGCUCCUCCUCAGUCACUCGUGUCCCCUGUGCUGUGGGGUCCCUCCCACGGGAUGCAGUCCUUCCCGAACUGAUCCUGCGUGGGCUGCCCACAGGCAGCAGCUCUUCAAGAACUGCUCCAGAUAUGGGUCCGCACCACGGGGUCCAUCGCUCAGGAGCAAACUGCUCCAACCUGGAUCCCCCACGGGCAGCAGCUCCUGCCAGGUCACCUGCUCCUGCGUGGGCUCCUGUCCACGGGCUACAGGUCCGGCCCAGAAUCUGCUCCGGCAGGGGUCUUCCAUAGGCCGCAGCCUCCGUCGGUGCAGGUCCACCUGCUCCACCGUGGUCUUCUCCACGGGCUGCAGCGUGGAACCCUGCCCCACUGUGGUACUCCAUGGGCUGCAGGGGAACAGCCUGCUCCACCGUGGUACUCCAUGGGCUGCAGGGGGACAGCCUGCUUCACCAUGGUCCUCACCACAGGCCGCAGGGGACUUCUGCUCUGGCACCUGGAGCACCUCUCCCCCUCCUUCUUCACUGACCUUGGCGCCUGCAAGGCUGUUCCUCACUCCUCUCACUCUCCCAGCAGCUGUGUGGCACAGCGUUUUUUUUUUUUUCCCUGUCUUAAGUAUGCUCUCACAGAGGCACAAAACUACAUUUCUUAUUGGCUCGGCUCUGGUCAGCAGCGGGGCCCUUACAUAACAUGGGGCAGCUUCUAGAUUCUUCUCACAGAAGCCACCCCUAUGGCCCCCUGCUACCAAAAUCUUGCCAUGUAAACCCGCUACAGCCCCUCAAACAACUGCAUCAGUGGAAAGUAGGAGAG